RNAcentral lists this transfer RNA (72 nucleotides) under Schistosoma japonicum. RNAcentral's name for it is "tRNA-OTHER". Lineage: Eukaryota; Metazoa; Platyhelminthes; Trematoda; Strigeidida; Schistosomatidae. The record is from RNAcentral.
GACUUAGUGGUGUAAUGGUAAGUCGUCCGCUGCGGAGCCAGAAGAUCUUGGGUUCGAUCCCUAAUUAGGUCA